UAGAGGAUUCUAUGGCAGGACCAGAAC
This 27-nucleotide non-coding RNA is filed under the name Macaca fascicularis (crab-eating macaque). Lineage: Eukaryota; Metazoa; Chordata; Mammalia; Primates; Cercopithecidae. RNAcentral also lists the same sequence under 1 other name. The record is from RNAcentral.